Molecule: long non-coding RNA, 365 nt
Organism: Gracilinanus agilis (Agile Gracile Mouse Opossum)
Lineage: Eukaryota; Metazoa; Chordata; Mammalia; Didelphimorphia; Didelphidae
Exons: 3
Source: RefSeq, a predicted model, not a curated record
AUAAAUCCUCAGAGGAAAUGUAUCAAAAACGGAUGGUCUUAUUUCUCUUUGCUUUGACCAUGUCUAUGUCCUGUUCAUCUAAUUUUGCCAUGGCCCUAGCUGGUGCUGGACUAUCAGGCCCUUGUAGAAGCUAGGUUAUGCUACUUGAAAGAAAAGAACUCAUUGGGCUGCUACAGGGAUUUCACAAGCAGCAAGCACAUUCAAGAGCAGAGAGAAGAAUUGUUGGUGGAUCUGAGAAGUAUUAUCACCUAUCAUCCCAAGGAAUCAGGGACUCUGAGGAACAGUAUUUCUUCUGAUCUCAAGAGGUGGAAAAUUGAGGCAACCUUCAUCUCCUGGAGAAUAACGCCCUCUUGCCCCAUAACCCA